GGCCAACAUGGUGUAGUGGUUUGAGUGCUAGACAAUGCCUCUGGAGACCAGGGUUCAAAUCCCUGCUCAGCCA
RNAcentral lists this transfer RNA (73 nucleotides) under Phrynosoma platyrhinos (Desert horned lizard). RNAcentral's name for it is "tRNA-OTHER". The record is from RNAcentral. Lineage: Eukaryota; Metazoa; Chordata; Lepidosauria; Squamata; Phrynosomatidae.